GUACCAGGAUUUCUUUUCUUUGUGGUGGAUUUGAAUGUGAUCCCAUGUGCUGUACUACAAGUGAGUAACAACAUCUGAAGUCAGACUGAACACAGUGCACAGCAAGUACAUGCCUACUGGCAUGGCGGUCCUGCUUCCUCAGAGGAAUGGAUAAUCCAGGAUCUGGAAUAUCUCCAGUACAAACCAACAGAGAUUCAACUCUGAGUUUUGGAAAAAAAUUUCUAGGGAGCUCAUUGGAACAAGGCAGGUGACUUGCUCUAAAUUCCUCCAUUAUGUUGCAGCAUUGGAAACAACACUGAAACUUUGUGAAACAAAACCGAAGAAAUUUAAG
This is a long non-coding RNA of Pogoniulus pusillus (Red-fronted tinkerbird), 331 nucleotides long. RefSeq lists it as uncharacterized. NCBI's taxonomy places the organism in Eukaryota, Metazoa, Chordata, Aves, Piciformes, Lybiidae. The record is from RefSeq and is a predicted model, not a curated record. The transcript is spliced from 3 exons.